RNAcentral lists this ribosomal RNA (492 nucleotides) under uncultured bacterium. RNAcentral describes it as "partial 16S ribosomal RNA". It matches the Rfam family "Bacterial small subunit ribosomal RNA", at positions 29 to 508 of the family's 1533-position model. The record is from RNAcentral.
AGUGAACGCUGGCGGUAGGCCUAACACAUGCAAGUCGAACGGCAGCACAGUAAGAGCUUGCUCUUACGGGUGGCGAGUGGCGGACGGGUGAGGAAUACAUCGGAAUCUACUUUUUCGUGGGGGAUAACGUAGGGAAACUUACGCUAAUACCGCAUACGACCUACGGGUGAAAGCAGGGGAUCUUCGGACCUUGCGCGAUUGAAUGAGCCGAUGUCGGAUUAGCUAGUUGGCGGGGUAAAGGCCCACCAAGGCGACGAUCCGUAGCUGGUCUGAGAGGAUGACCACCCACAGUGGAACUGAACCACGGCCCAGCCCCCCCGGGGGGGCAGAGGGGGGGAAUUUGGGACAGGGGGGCAAGGCCGAACCCACCCAUCCCGGGGGGUGGAAAAGGGCCUUGGGUUUUAAAGCCCUUUUGUUGGGAAAAAAAAACAAGCAGUUUAAACCCCCGUUUUUGUGACGUUCCCAAAAAAAAAACCCCGGCCUACUUUCGUC